This 74-nucleotide transfer RNA is filed under the name Priapella compressa (Palenque priapella). RNAcentral's name for it is "tRNA-Leu". It matches the Rfam family "tRNA". Rfam says of the family: Transfer RNA (tRNA) molecules are approximately 80 nucleotides in length. Their secondary structure includes four short double-helical elements and three loops (D, anti-codon, and T loops). The record is from RNAcentral. Lineage: Eukaryota; Metazoa; Chordata; Actinopteri; Cyprinodontiformes; Poeciliidae.
GUCCAGGUGGCAGACUCCGGUUAAUGCAGAAGACCUAAACCCUUCUCACAGGGGUUCAACUCCCCUCCUAGACC